UACGGCCACAUCACUUUGUAACAUCGGUUCCCCUACGAUCACCAAAGUUAAGCAACGUCGAACCCUGGUCAGUACUUAGAUGGGUCACCGCCUGGGAAUACCAGGUGCUGCAA
Non-coding RNA from Acanthosepion pharaonis, 113 nucleotides. The record is from the annotation of a GenBank genome assembly. NCBI's taxonomy places the organism in Eukaryota, Metazoa, Mollusca, Cephalopoda, Sepiida, Sepiidae.